Molecule: unclassified non-coding RNA, 338 nt
Filed under: soil metagenome
Description: partial contains 5.8S ribosomal RNA, internal transcribed spacer 2, and large subunit ribosomal RNA
Rfam family: 5.8S ribosomal RNA (bases 1-120)
Source: RNAcentral
GAUGAAGAACGCAGCGAAAUGCGAUAAGUAGUGUGAAUUGCAGAAUUCAGUGAAUCAUCGAAUCUUUGAACGCACAUUGCGCCCCUUGGUAUUCCAUUGGGCAUGCCUGUUCGAGCGUCAUUUACAACCUCAAGCUCCGCUUGGUGUUGGGUGUCUGUCUGCGCUUCUUGCGAAGACUCGCCCUAAAUCUAUUGGCAGCGGCAUCGCCGGCUUCUCGCGCAGUACAAUGCGUUAUGGAAGGCUACCGGCGGGCUUGCGUCCAUCAAGUAACCCCCCAAGUUUGACCUCGAAUCAGGUAGGGAUACCCGCUGAACUUAAGCAUAUCAAUAAGCGGAGGA